UAUUCAUAGCUUCUAUUUAAAAUUAAAAAUUUUAUGAGAAUUUAAUUUAAUUAAUUUUUUAUUAUAAUUUUUUUAUUUUUGAUUUUAAUUUAAAUUUAUUUUCAUUUUAUAUUAAAAAUAAAUGAUUCAUGUUAAUUUUUGUUAUUAUGCAAAGCUAACUGCGUUCAAGAUUCAAUGGGCUAAAGGAGAAAUAAGUCUAAAAGAGAAGUAAACCCGCCUAAAACCUAUCGAAAACCAUCCAACGACCACCACCAUCUCCACCAUGGACUCAAUUCAAAACAGAGAGGUAUAGCACAUGCCUAAGGAGAUAAGCUGAAAAACAAACACAACAAACAAUCAUAUGGAAGUCCAAAACACCUGGACAGUUAUUAUAAGAUGAUUCUUAUUGUGCAACACCACCAGCACCUUCGGCAUAUCCAAACUAAUCCGAAACUUAAGACGGAUUUAGUUCAUCGAUGACAACGUAAACACCAUACGAAGGGAGACGACGUGACAGAGUCAAGAGAGCGUCGUCACCGGCAGUCAAACUUUCUCUCAAAAUCCAACAGCAAAAUCAUCGGAGAAGGAGAGAACGAAAUUUCUCUCUGCUAAGCAGACUCAAAAGACACCUGCAUAACAAAACUAUACAAACCGAUCAGAAAAGAAAUGUUGAGACCAACACCGCUUCCUCGACCGUCAACAUCAAAAUCCUCACUGCAUUCAGUUCACACCUUGCAAGACAAAGAAAACCCUCAUAAAUUUUUUUUAUUCUUGUGUUUCCUCUUUAUUCACGUUAAUUGUUAAUAGUAUCCAUUGUGAUUUGAGUUUGGAAUUUAAAUUAUAAGUAUUAACAAGGUGAGUAGUAAGAAACUUCUUGUGUGGGACCAUUCAACUGGUGUUUGGUUGACAACUAUGCUAGUGGGCGGCUAUUGACACAACUCAUUGCUUGCUGAGAGUCCAAGAAAGACAGACAGUGCUGACGAUGGAGGGCCCAAACACCUAUUUUCAUAUGAAUUAUUAUUUUAACGUUUUGUAAAAAUUAUAUUCUUUCCUGUUUUGUAAUUUUGUAUCUAUUUUUUUUUAAUUACUUAAAUAUUAUUAUUUGCCUUUUUAACUUAUAUUAAUAUAUAAAUUAAUUAUUAUAAUUCUAU
RNAcentral lists this long non-coding RNA (1130 nucleotides) under Manihot esculenta (cassava). Its description in RNAcentral is "long non-coding RNA (MESC_LNC005750)". The record is from RNAcentral. Lineage: Eukaryota; Viridiplantae; Streptophyta; Magnoliopsida; Malpighiales; Euphorbiaceae.